CGCGCGGGGGCGAGACCCAGCAGUGGCGGUGACUUGCCGCGGCGGGGGCGGGGGCCGCAGAUGAAUAAAACACGCAGAGUACUGAGACCCCCGCAUUCUAUUUGGGAUCUAAAGAAGACGCAUCUUUCAUCCAGGAAGCCUCACCGUGCCGUUUGGCAGCCGCGCGUCUCUCUCGGACGCAGGCUUCUCUGGUCGGGAGUCAGGACAGCUCGCGUCCCCAAGCGCAGCGCGGGGCUGUACCUCCCAGGGACGCCAGUGUCCCGCCUGCCCCAGGAAUCCAGGCCAACGAUCGUUAUUUUCAGUGUCAGGAAACAUGUCGCCUUUCAUCAAAACCCCUCGUGCUACAGCUGAAGUUCUCCCGCUGCUGUGACAGAGAACGGCGGCCGUUUGUCCUUCCCUAGUGCCUACUGUGUGAGCGAGGAACCGUCGAAGGACCCAAAGGAGGGGGUUGAUGGGGCCUCGACCCUCAAAAACCCAUACUAGAGGUUUCACCUGGGGCAUCAAGUAACCUAGUGUGGUGGGUUCAGCUGUGCACCUCCAAAAGCUGUGCUCAAAUCCUAAUCCUAAAGCUGUGAAAGGGACCUCAUUUGGAAACAGUGUUUGCAGAUGUGAUCAAAUUAAGAUGAGCUCAGACUUGCUGAGGGUGGGCCUUGUGUCCAAUGGCUGUUGUCUUGACAAGAAGAGGGGGAGGGAGAUUUGGAUGCAGAGACCCAGCGGAGGCACAGAGAAGUCUGUGUGAAGACGGGGGCAGAGAUCAGGGUGAUGUUGUCCCAAGCCAAGGAACCCCGAGACUGACCAGGAGCCAACGGAAGCUGGACGAGGCCAGGAAGGAUUCUUCCCCAGAGUCUUUGAGGGGAGCAUGCCGUCUUAACAACUUGAUUGCACAUUUCUGGACCACAGUGAGAGAGCAAGUGUCUGUUUUCAGCCACCAAAGUCAGGGCACUUUGUUAAAACAGCCUUAGGAAACAUGUACAUCUACACGUCAGACAUUAAAGUAAGCUGUGGCACACACCGCUUAGUUGGAUUUGCAACUUUUCAAAGGAAGAUGGUUAAAAUAAAGCU
Molecule: long non-coding RNA, 1062 nt
Organism: Mustela lutreola (European mink)
Lineage: Eukaryota; Metazoa; Chordata; Mammalia; Carnivora; Mustelidae
Exons: 3
Source: RefSeq, a predicted model, not a curated record